GACGAACGCUGGCGGCGUGCUUAACACAUGCAAGUCGAACGGAAAGGCCCUGCUUGCGGGGUGCUCGAGUGGCGAACGGGUGAGUAACACGUGGGUGAUCUGCCCCUUACUUUGGGAUAAGCCUGGGAAACUGGGUCUAAUACUGGAUAGGACCAUGCUGUAGGUGGUGUGGUGGAAAGAUUAGUUUCGGUAAGGGAUGAGCUCGCGGCCUAUCAGCUUGUUGGUGGGGUAAUGGCCUACCAAGGCGUCGACGGGUAGCCGGCCUGAGAGGGUGGACGGCCACAUUGGGACUGAGAUACGGCCCAGACUCCUACGGGAGGCAGCAGUGGGGAAUAUUGCACAAUGGGCGCAAGCCUGAUGCAGCGACGCCGCGGGGGGGAUGACGGCCUUCGGGUUGUAAACUCCUUUCAGCCAUGACGAAGCCCUUGUGGUGACGGUAGUGGUAGAAGAAGCACCGGCUAACUACGUG
RNAcentral lists this ribosomal RNA (469 nucleotides) under uncultured bacterium. Its description in RNAcentral is "partial 16S ribosomal RNA". It matches the Rfam family "Bacterial small subunit ribosomal RNA", at positions 28 to 507 of the family's 1533-position model. The record is from RNAcentral.